ACUCAAAGGAAUUGACGGGGGCCCGCACAAGCGGAGGAACAUGUGGUUUAAUUCGAUGAUACGCGAGGAACCUUACCCGGGCUUGAAAUGCAUCUGACGUAUUCGGAAACGGAUAUUCCCUACGGGGCAGAUGUGUAGGUGCUGCAUGGUUGUCGUCAGCUCGUGCCGUGAGGUGUCGGCUUAAGUGCCAUAACGAGCGCAACCCUCAUCGUCAGUUACCAUCAGGUAAAGCUGGGGACUCUGGCGAGACUGCCAUCGUAAGAUGCGAGGAAGGUGGGGAUGACGUCAAAUCAGCACGGCCCUUACGUCCGGGGCGACACACGUGUUACAAUGGGUGGUACAAAGGGCAGCUACCUGGCGACAGGAUGCUAAUCUCCAAAACCACUCUCAGUUCGGAUCGGAGUCUGCAACUCGACUCCGUGAAGCUGGAUUCGCUAGUAAUCGCGCAUCAGCCACGGCGCGGUGAAUACGUUCCCGGGCCUUGUACACACCGCCCGU
RNAcentral lists this ribosomal RNA (498 nucleotides) under uncultured bacterium. Its description in RNAcentral is "bacterial SSU rRNA". It matches the Rfam family "Bacterial small subunit ribosomal RNA", at positions 899 to 1397 of the family's 1533-position model. The record is from RNAcentral.